CAGUAGCCGCGGUAAUACGAAGGGUGCAAGCGUUACUCGGAAUUACUGGGCGUAAAGCGUGUGUAGGUGGUUGUUUAAGUCUGUCGUGAAAGCCCUGGGCUCAACCUGGGAAUUGCGAUGGAUACUGGGCGACUAGAGUGCGGUAGAGGAUAGUGGAAUUUCCGGUGUAGCAGUGAAAUGCGUAGAGAUCGGAAGGAACAUCUGUGGCGAAGGCGACUAUCUGGGCCAACACUGACACUGAGGCACGAAAGCGUGGGGAGCAAACAGGAUUAGAUACCCGAGUAGUCCCUGUCUCUUAUAC
This 301-nucleotide ribosomal RNA is filed under the name uncultured bacterium. RNAcentral describes it as "partial 16S ribosomal RNA". It matches the Rfam family "Bacterial small subunit ribosomal RNA", at positions 509 to 807 of the family's 1533-position model. The record is from RNAcentral.